This 839-nucleotide ribosomal RNA is filed under the name uncultured bacterium. RNAcentral describes it as "bacterial SSU rRNA". It matches the Rfam family "Bacterial small subunit ribosomal RNA", at positions 60 to 904 of the family's 1533-position model. The record is from RNAcentral.
AGUCGAGCGAUGAAAGUUGUUCAGAUCCUUCGGGUGACGAACUUCUGGAUUAGCGGCGAACGGGUGAGUAACGCGUGAGGAACCUGCCUCUCACAACGGGAUAGCCUCGGGAAACCGGGAUUAAUACCGUAUGACACUAUCAGAUGGCAUCAUCAGGUAGUUAAAGUGCUAGCGGUGAGAGAUGGCCUCGCGUCUGAUUAGUUAGUUGGUGGGGUAACGGCCUACCAAGACGACGAUCAGUAACCGGCCUGAGAGGGUGAACGGUCACAUUGGAACUGAGACACGGUCCAAACUCCUACGGGAGGCAGCAGUGGGGAAUCUUGCACAAUGGGGGAAACCCUGAUGCAGCGACGCCGCGUGAGCGAUGAAGGUUUUCGAAUCGUAAAGCUCUGUCCUAUGGGAAGAUAAUGACGGUACCAUAGGAGGAAGCCCCGGCUAACUACGUGCCAGCAGCCGCGGUAAUACGUAGGGGGCGAGCGUUGUCCGGAAUUACUGGGCGUAAAGGGUUCGCAGGCGGCAUGACAAGUCCGAUGUAAAAGGCGAAAGCUCAACUUUCGUAAGCAUCGGAAACUGUCAAGCUUGAGUGAAGGAGAGGCAAGUGGAAUUCCUAGUGUAGCGGUGGAAUGCGUAGAUAUUAGGAGGAAUACCGGUGGCGAAGGCGACUUGCUGGACUUCAACUGACGCUGAGGAACGAAAGCGUGGGUAGCAAACAGGAUUAGAUACCCUGGUAGUCCACGCCGUAAACGAUGAGUGCUAGGUGUCGGGGGUCAAACCUCGGUGCCGUCGUUAACACACUAAGCACUCCGCCUGGGGAGUACGUGCGCAAGCAUGAAACUCAA